Molecule: ribosomal RNA, 253 nt
Filed under: uncultured bacterium
Lineage: Bacteria
Description: partial 16S ribosomal RNA
Rfam family: Bacterial small subunit ribosomal RNA
Source: RNAcentral
UACGAAGGGUGCAAACGUUGCUCGGAAUUAUUGGGCGUAAAGCGCACGUAGGCGGCAUUGCAAGUCGGAUGUGAAAUCCCUCGGCUCAACCAAGGAAGUGCAUCCGAAACUGCUGUGCUUGAGUACUUAAGAGGAUCGCGGAAUUCCCGGUGUAGAGGUGAAAUUCGUAGAUAUUCGCAAGAACACCAGUGGCGAAGGCGGCUCACUGGCCCGAUACUGACGCUGAGGCACGAAAGCGUGGGGAGCAAACAGG